Molecule: ribosomal RNA, 381 nt
Filed under: uncultured eukaryote
Lineage: Eukaryota
Description: partial 18S ribosomal RNA
Rfam family: Eukaryotic small subunit ribosomal RNA
Source: RNAcentral
CAAUAGCGUAUAUUAAAGCUGUUGCGGUUAAAAAGCUCGUAGUUGGAUUUCUGUCAAGGACAACUGGUCCGCCCCUCGGGUGAGCACAUAGUUUGGUCUUGGCAUCUUGUUGGAAACUGUUGCUGCACUUGGUUGUGUGGCGCAGUGUCCAGCACUUUCACUUUGAGGAAACUGGAGUGUUUCAAGCAGGCACAUGCCUUUGGACACAGUAGCAUGGAAUAAUUAGAUUGGGCUUUUGCUCCAACUUGUCGGUUUCUGGAGCUGAGGUGAGAAUUAAUGGGGAUUGUUGGGGGCAUCCGAAUUUAGCCGUCAGAGGUGAAAUUCUUGGAUCUGCUAAAGACGGACAACUGCGAAAGCGUUUGCCCAGGAUGUUUUCAUUGA